This 497-nucleotide ribosomal RNA is filed under the name uncultured bacterium. Its description in RNAcentral is "partial 16S ribosomal RNA". It matches the Rfam family "Bacterial small subunit ribosomal RNA", at positions 28 to 507 of the family's 1533-position model. The record is from RNAcentral.
GAUGAACGCUGGCGGCGUGCCUAAUACAUGCAAGUCGAGCGAACAGACGAGGAGCUUGCUCCUCUGACGUUAGCGGCGGACGGGUGAGUAACACGUGGAUAACCUACCUCUAAGACUGGGAUAACUUCGGGAAACCGGAGCUACUACCGGAUAAUAUAUUGAACCGCAUGGUUCAAUAGUGAAAGACGGUUUUGCUGUCACUUAUAGAUGGAUCCGCGCCGCAUUAGCUAGUUGGUAAGGUAACGGCUUACCAAGGCAACGAUGCGUAGCCGACCUGAGAGGGUGAUCGGCCACACUGGAACUGAGACACGGUCCAGACUCCUACGGGAGGCAGCAGUAGGGAAUCUUCCGCAAUGGGCGAAAGCCUGACGGAGCAACGCCGCGUGAGUGAUGAAGGUCUUCGGAUCGUAAAACUCUGUUAUUAGGGAAGAACAAAUGUGUAAGUAACUAUGCACGUCUUGACGGUACCUAAUCAGAAAGCCACGGCUAACUACGUG